UUCCUUUGCAUGAUUUCAUUGAUGAGAAAUUAAGAAGAUAUUUUUAUUGUUAGAGACGUAAAAGUUUAUUCAUCAUGCAUUUGUAUCAGAUGUCCAAAACAUUUACAUUGUUUUACAUAUUACUUAUAUAUUAUAUUGUAAAACCAGAUUUAUGUGAUUUUAUAUAUGAGAAAUUCAAUAAAUGAUCUUAACAUUGAAGACAGAGACUUUUACUCUUCAUGCAUUUGAUAUAGAUGCUCAGAACUUUUGCAAUUAUUUAUAUAUAUUGUAAAAACAGAUUGUCAGAAAGUUAUUUCAAGAUAACGUAUUGUCAAAACACCUAUAUAAAAAGCAGUCUUCAAGAUAUAAAAAUUUAAAUACAUUUGAGAUGAUAUACUUUACUAUGAUCGCUUCAAUAUUUUAUAAAUUUGAAGUCCUGAUCUUAUAAAUAAUAUAUUUAUGACGAAGAAUUGAAUUUUCCAAGAAAAAAAAAAUAUUGAUAAUAUUAUAUCGUCUGAUUCUGAUUCAGAUGUUGAUAAGUGCAAUAAAGAAUUGUGCACAGAUAUGGAUAUUGGUCAGACUUUAUAAGAAUAGACUAUUAAAAAAGAUAUUGAAAUUGAUAAUGCAGAAGAAAAUAUAAUUGAACGUAAUGAAUGAAAGGAAUAUAUUGGACAGGAAGAAUCAUUUUCUUUUAUUCUAACAACGAGUCUGCUUUAAAGAACUACCUAAUACUAUCAAUCAGUACAAAGUGUUUUCUUUGUUCAUUAGCGAUGAAAUAAUAAAUGUUCUUAAAACAAAUACAUAUACAGAACAAAAA
Vespula pensylvanica (western yellowjacket) is the source of this 796-nucleotide long non-coding RNA. RefSeq lists it as uncharacterized. The transcript is spliced from 3 exons. Lineage: Eukaryota; Metazoa; Arthropoda; Insecta; Hymenoptera; Vespidae. The record is from RefSeq and is a predicted model, not a curated record.